CCGUAUUUCCUCUUUAAUCUCGCUUGUUCACAGUCACAUGAUUAUCCCGCUUGUCAAUGCAAAUGGAGAUACACGGCUCUGCAAAAUCCGCUGUCAUCCUUUGAGUAAAGAUAUGAAUGUGGUCUUGUAAAAACUGUGGGAUGACUGCAUCGACAAGAAUCCAUCUACUAAACACUACAGAUAAGUGCUGAGUUCACUUGCAUUACCACCAUCCCACUUAUCAGUUUAUGGCGCAGCUGGGCCACUACUGACAGAUUCUCAGCAAGAAAGGAGGAGCAGUAGGACACAAAAUCAAAAACUUUAUGGCUGUUAUUUGACAAGAACGACUACAUUGCAACAAGAAGAUCUUGUAGCCUCCAAGCACUACCUUUGUAUCUCAACGAAGACCCUGAAAAGCUAGUGAAAGAGUACGGAAGUGAGAACCCUGAUGAAACCCAGGCAGAUUUGGAUCAGAUGGUCAUCGGCACCUAUGUGAUUAAACACCCAGGUGAAGAUGUUGAUCAGUCCCCAGAAGAUGUUGGCAUCAUAGUUGAAGGUGUGCAGGUGCUCAAUGAACUCAAAGAUGUCACCACUUCUUGUGCCUUACUGUUUGGGAUCAUCUACGACCUGAACCUGAGCAUUCUGACCUCAGGUACACUUUUAAAUUCAUCCAAAAGAUCCUGAUGGAACUUGAUACACACAGACUUUUAAACAAAAUCCAGGUACUCAAAAAUAAA
Molecule: long non-coding RNA, 716 nt
Organism: Archocentrus centrarchus (flier cichlid)
Lineage: Eukaryota; Metazoa; Chordata; Actinopteri; Cichliformes; Cichlidae
Exons: 5
Source: RefSeq, a predicted model, not a curated record